This is a long non-coding RNA of Arabidopsis thaliana (thale cress), 306 nucleotides long. RefSeq annotates it as other RNA. NCBI's taxonomy places the organism in Eukaryota, Viridiplantae, Streptophyta, Magnoliopsida, Brassicales, Brassicaceae. The record is from RefSeq. The transcript has a single exon.
GAUUUUAACGAGUUCCCUGCCAACAACAGGUACGUCUCGUGAGGGAUCGGUACCCUCAAACAUCCACUAAAGAUCAAGAGAUACAAGUGUUUGUGUUCUCUCACUUUCUCAUGAUUACAAAUCAAUCGUGUUACAAAGAAGAAGAAAAAUAGCGAAGAACAAAGAAGAAGAAUGAAUCAGAGAUGAACCCUAACUUGAGAAGACUCUAACAAGAUAUCUCUCAUCAUCAUCUCUCUUACGCACACAACGAUCUAAAAUCGAAUGAUCACGCUAAUCACCAAGCUCGCUUCUUUGUACGCUCUGUUU